This 509-nucleotide ribosomal RNA is filed under the name Sphaeratrix sp. BMNH#704390. RNAcentral describes it as "partial 16S ribosomal RNA". The stretch from base 383 to 509 matches the Rfam family "Bacterial large subunit ribosomal RNA", at positions 2473 to 2600 of the family's 2925-position model. Lineage: Eukaryota; Metazoa; Arthropoda; Insecta; Coleoptera; Chrysomelidae. The record is from RNAcentral.
GUCCUUUUGUUUAUAAUUUAAGGUCUGGCCUGCCCACUGAAUUUUUAAAUGGCCGUGGUAUUUUGACCGUGCUAAGGUAGCAUAAUCAUUAGUUUUUUAAUUGAAAACUGGAAUGAAGGGUUAUAUAAAAAAAUAGCUGUCUCUGUUUAAUUUUAUUAUAAUUUUAUUUUUAAGUUAAAAAGCUUAAUUAAAUUUAAAAGACGAGAAGACCCUUUAGAGUUUAAUUAUUUAAUGAAAAUUUUAUUUUAGGAUUAAUUUAAAAUAUUUUAAGAAUAAUUUAAUUGGGGUGAUUGAAAAAUUAAAUUAACUUUUUUUUAUUUAGUCCAUAAAUUUAUGUAAUAUUGAUCCAAUAUUUUUGAUUAUAAGAUAAAAUUACCUAAGGGAUAACAGCGUAAUUUUUUUUGAAAGUUCACAUUGAAAGAAAAGAUUGCGACCUCGAUGUUGGAUUAAAAUUAAUUUUUGGUGUAGAAGCUAGAAUAUUUGGUCUGUUCGACCAUUAAAAUUUUACA